Molecule: ribosomal RNA, 443 nt
Filed under: uncultured bacterium
Lineage: Bacteria
Description: partial 16S ribosomal RNA
Rfam family: Bacterial small subunit ribosomal RNA
Source: RNAcentral
CCUACGGGAGGCAGCAGUGGGGAAUAUUGGGCAAUGGGCGCAAGCCUGACCCAGCAACGCCGCGUGAAGGAAGAAGGCUUUCGGGUUGUAAACUUCUUUUCUCAGGGACGAAGCAAGUGACGGUACCUGAGGAAUAAGCCACGGCUAACUACGUGCCAGCAGCCGCGGUAAUACGUGGGUGGCAAGCGUUAUUCGGAUUUAAUGGGUGUAAAGGGGGUGUAGGCGGGAAAGCAAGUCAGAUGUGAAAACCCUGGGCUCAACCUGUGGCCUGCAUUUGAAAAUGUGUUGCUUGAGUACUGGAGAGGCAGGCGGAAUUCCUGGUGGAGCGGUGAAAUGCGUAGAGAUUAGGAGGAACACCGGUGGCGAAGGCGGUCUGCUGGACAGCAACUGACGCUGAGGCGCGAAAGCGUGGGGAGCAAACAGGAUUAGAUACCCUUGUAGUC